UUUUGAUUUUCCAUUAUUAAAGAACGAAAAAAAGAGCAUAUUUUCGAAUGGUGUUCUGCACAAUCAGUGAUGUAUCUGUGCUUGAUGCCACUAUUCUUUGCAAAAUGUGAUGAUAAUAAUGUUAUCUGUUAACAUAAAAACAAAGUUUGACUUCACAGAAGCAGCUGGAAAUGGAUAACCACAAUAUGCUUAAAUCUCUUAGGAACACACUGUUUGACAUAUUCUGUUAAAAGUUCCUCAUAUUUAGGAAUUCUUUUAAGCAAAGUGCUUGUGCUGAGUCUCAGCUGGUGUGCAUAGAGGAAUAUUCAUUUCCCAGUGGUAAUAUGGAAUUCGAC
Nestor notabilis (Kea) is the source of this 335-nucleotide non-coding RNA. The record is from Rfam. Lineage: Eukaryota; Metazoa; Chordata; Aves; Psittaciformes; Psittacidae.